AGAGUUUGAUCCUGGCUCAGGAUGAACGCUGGCGGCGUGCCUAAUACAUGCAAGUCGAGCGAACGGACGAGAAGCUUGCUUCUCUGAUGUUAGCGGCGGACGGGUGAGUAACACGUGGAUAACCCACCUAUAAGACUGGGAUAACUUCGGGAAACCGGAGCUAAUACCGGAUAAUAUUUUGAACCGCAUGGUUCAAAAGUGAAAGGCGGUCUUGCUGUCACUUAUAGAUGGAUCCGCGCUGCAUUAGCUAGUUGGUAAGGUAACGGCUUACCAAGGCAACGAUGCAUAGCCGACCUGAGAGGGUGAUAGGCCACACUGGAACUGAGACACGGUCCAGACUCCUACGGGAGGCAGCAGUAGGGAAUCUUCCGCAAUGGGAGAAAGCCUGACGGAGCAACGCCGCGUGAGUGAUGAAGGUCUUCGGAUCGUAAAACUCUGUUAUUAGGGAAGAACAUAUGUGUAAGUAACUGUGCACAUCUUGACGGUACCUAAUCAGAAAGCCACGGCUAACUACGUGCCAGCAGCCGCGGUAAUACGUAGGUGGCAAGCGUUAUCCGGAAUUAUUGGGCGUAAAGCGCGCGUAGGCGGUUUUUUAAGUCUGAUGUGAAAGCCCACGGCUCAACCGUGGAGGGUCAUUGGAAACUGGAAAACUUGAUUGCAGAAGAGGAAAGUGGAAUUCCAUGUGUAGCGGUGAAAUGCGCAGAGAUAUGGAGGAACACCAGUGGCGAAGGCGACUUUCUGGUCUGUAACUGACGCUGAUGUGCGAAAGCGUGGGGAUCAAACAGGAUUAGAUACCCUGGUAGUCC
Molecule: ribosomal RNA, 806 nt
Filed under: uncultured bacterium
Lineage: Bacteria
Description: bacterial SSU rRNA
Rfam family: Bacterial small subunit ribosomal RNA
Source: RNAcentral